Molecule: ribosomal RNA, 305 nt
Filed under: uncultured bacterium
Lineage: Bacteria
Description: bacterial SSU rRNA
Rfam family: Bacterial small subunit ribosomal RNA
Source: RNAcentral
UCCUACGGGGGGCAGCAGUGAGGAAUAUUGGUCAAUGGUCGGGAGACUGAACCAGCCAAGCCGCGUGAGGGAUGAAGGUACAGAGUAUCGUAAACCUCCCUUGUCAGGGAACAAAGGCGGGGACGUGUCCCCGGAUGAGUGUACCUGAAGAAAAAGCAUCGGCUAACUCCGUGCCAGCAGCCGCGGUAAUACGGAGGAUGCGAGCGUUAUCCGGAUUUAUUGGGUUUAAAGGGUGCGCAGGCGGUCUGUUAAGUCAGCGGUCAAAGCCCGGGGCUCAACCCCGGCCCGCCGGUGAAACUGGCAGG